This is a long non-coding RNA of Onychostoma macrolepis, 1964 nucleotides long. RefSeq lists it as uncharacterized. The transcript is spliced from 6 exons. NCBI's taxonomy places the organism in Eukaryota, Metazoa, Chordata, Actinopteri, Cypriniformes, Cyprinidae. The record is from RefSeq and is a predicted model, not a curated record.
CAUUUCCUGGACUUAGUAUGUUUUGGCAACACCCUCUGAAAACCUCGAGGCUGAUGAUUGAAUGUAGCGCGUAUACUUGUGUUAUUAAUACUAGUUUACAGAGUGGAGGACAGCUGAGGAAACACUUGAUUGCACAAUGGUUUUUUGGGAAGAUGUUUUGAUCCUGAUAAAAGGCACUCACAAAGAGUUUGACGAGAUUCAGAGAAAUGAUAAUGUCCCUUCUGAUUCUGAAAUUCAAACAAUGAUUGACAAGCUUGAAAUGGGGGAUCUUAUUCUGAGGAGAAUUGACAGACGCGGAAAAAUGUAUCAUGUUGGGGUUUACACUGGCAGAAAGCGAGUAAUUGAUUUCACAGCUCCUGCAGAUCCUAAGUUUCCUGCAGCAUCUAAAGUGUUAUGUUCAUCAUCAUGUAAGGGAGGCUUAGUUAGCAUGAAGAGUGUGAAGCACUUCAUUGGACUGAAGCCAUACUGCGUCUUACGUUUGAAAACAAGAAGACUGCCUCCAAAUUUUUCUCAAGAGGUUCAAGAAAUGAUGGAUUAUGAUGGAGAUUAUCAUCUUUGAAUAAUAACUGUCUGCAUUUUGCACUGAGACUACUGGGGUUGCCAUCAAGGCCACUUACAUCCAGGCAGCCAAAUAGAGAAGUUGCCAUGGAGGAUCUGGGGGAACGUUCUGGUUUCUUGAAGGAAAAUCAAUGAAUCAACACGUUUGAACAACAUGAGAUAUAUAAGCAUAUAUAUAUACACUGUCGCCGCUAAAAAGUAUUGACACACAUUUACACAACUAAAUCAUGCUUAAAUAUCUCUGAAUUUCAUGGCAAAAAUCAAAUAAACUGGCCAUUUUGCAAUUACUUAACCUAAAUAAUUAAGGUGAUUUUAGAUUUUUUUUAGUAUGUUUAAAUCAGUUUUCCUCAAGACAACACAACAUGUUUAUGUGAUGCAAAGGCAUUUAUUUUUCAAACAGUUCUGGGAAAUUGGUAUUUCUGUUAUCUCAUAGUUAUCUCAUAGUUUGUGUUUUAGUGUACAAUUGACAGGGGAAAAACUGUAACAGUGGAAACAUUUUUAAAAAUAAUUUUAGAAUAUAAGAAAUAAAAAAAUUAAAGCAUAGCAUUCACGUUUCAAAAACGUUUUCAUGAGCAACAGAAACACUUUUUAUAUACUGCUUAAUACAGCGCCAUCUGUUUAAGAAUAAAGUUCAACAUAAACAUAUACUAUUUAAAUACCAGUAACGUGGGGGUAUAUUUGCUUUUAUCAGUGUUUUUUUUUUUUUUUUUAUUAAAUGUGACUCAAUAUAACAUUGUGACUACAGUAAAAAAGAAUUGUCAUGUGGUGAAUCUGGCCAGUCGUGAAACAGCUGUCGUCAUCAGCAGUCGCUCUGAGAAAGCUGUGCCAGCUGUGAGUUCUUUAAAUGUCUUUCUCUGUCGUGUCUUUAAAUGCCAGGGGUUUAAGAGAUGUUGUUAAACGCAAGGCCUUAUUUUUAUUUUCUAGACAGUUUGGUUCUGACUUAGUUUUUUUUCAAGAGUCUCAUUCUAAUGACAAAGAUGUUAAUUUUUGGAAGUCGCAGUGGGGUAGUGAGAUAUGGUUUUCUCAUGGUUCGGAGCACUCUGCAGGUGUUUCCUGUUUAAAAAAUAAUUGUGCAGGUGAUGUGUUGCCAGAGCAUGUGAGCGAAGCGGAGCGGAAAUCUCUUCACAAUCUUCUCUGAUGCAUUUUGUCCAUCAUUUUAUGCUGUCAAUACAGGAGACAAACCAAUGGGCCACUGGCUGCUCGCUGUCCCUGCGUAAAACAAAUCUGUCAGGCCCCUUAAGUGCGUCGACCCACCAGGAAAAUACCCGGUAUGCCGAUUACCAAACCAGUCCUGAUCCAGAGUCAUAGUCAUAUUAAAAUGUAGACACUGAUAUACAAUCUUACAGACUUGAUAUAGUACAUUAACAAGGAUUUGGUACAAUUAAAAUAUACCCUAUAAAUUUUAA